Molecule: ribosomal RNA, 256 nt
Filed under: uncultured bacterium
Lineage: Bacteria
Description: partial 16S ribosomal RNA
Rfam family: Bacterial small subunit ribosomal RNA
Source: RNAcentral
UACAGAGGUCUCAAGCGUUGUUCGGAUUCAUUGGGCGUAAAGGGUGCGUAGGUGGCAUGGUAAGUCGGAUGUGAAAUCCCGGGGCUCAACCCCGGAACUGCAUUCGAUACUGCUGAGCUAGAGUACUGGAGAGGAGAUUGGAAUUUACGGUGUAGCAGUGAAAUGCGUAGAUAUCGUAAGGAAGACCAGUGGCGAAGGCGGAUCGUCUGGACAGUUACUGACACUGAGGCACGAAGGCCAGGGGAGCGAAAACGGG